Molecule: transfer RNA, 77 nt
Filed under: Agrobacterium tumefaciens
Lineage: Bacteria; Pseudomonadati; Pseudomonadota; Alphaproteobacteria; Hyphomicrobiales; Rhizobiaceae
Also listed under: 44 other names
Description: tRNA-Ala
Rfam family: tRNA
About the family: Transfer RNA (tRNA) molecules are approximately 80 nucleotides in length.
Source: RNAcentral
UGGGGCUGUAGCUCAGCUGGGAGAGCACCUGCUUUGCAAGCAGGGGGUCAGCGGUUCGAUCCCGCUCAGCUCCACCA